RNAcentral lists this ribosomal RNA (109 nucleotides) under Peromyscus maniculatus bairdii (prairie deer mouse). Lineage: Eukaryota; Metazoa; Chordata; Mammalia; Rodentia; Cricetidae. The record is from RNAcentral.
GUCUACGGCCAUACCACCCUGAAUGCGCCUGAUCUCGUCAGCUAAGCAGGUUUGGGCCUGGUUAGUACUUGGAUGGGAGACCACCUGGGAAUACUGGGUGCUGUAGGCU